CGGCAACAGCUCAAAUUUGAAAUCUGGCCCUUUCGGGGUCCGAGUUGUAAUUUGUAGAGGGUGUUCCGGCAUCGGGCCCGGGCUAGGUUCCUUGGAACAGGACGUCACAGAGGGUGAGAACCCCGUCUUCGCCCGGGACUCCUUUGCCGUGUGGAACCCCUUCGAC
Molecule: ribosomal RNA, 166 nt
Filed under: Lichenostigmatales sp.
Lineage: Eukaryota; Fungi; Ascomycota; Arthoniomycetes; Lichenostigmatales
Description: partial large subunit ribosomal RNA
Rfam family: Eukaryotic large subunit ribosomal RNA
Source: RNAcentral